CUGAAUGGAAAGCCGCGAAUGGCUCAUUACAACAGCCACAGUUUAUUGGGUCUCCAUUUACUUGGAUAACUGAGCUAAUUGUUGAGCUAAUACACGCACCAAAGCUUCGACCUCACGGGAGGAGCGCAUUUAUUAGAACAAAACCAAUCGGACUUCGGUCCGUCCAUUGGUGAAUCUAAAUAACUUAGCCGAUCGCAUGGUCUCGCACCGGCGACUCACCUUUCAAAUGUCUGCCUUAUCACCUUUCGAUGGUAGUUUAUACGCCUACCAUGGGUUUUACGGGUAACGGAGAAUAAGGGUUCGACUCCGGAGAGGGAGCCUGAGAAACGGCUACCACAUCCAAGGAAGGCAGCAGGCACGCAAAUUACCCACUCCCGGCACGGGGAGGUAGUGACGAAAAAUAACGAGGCGGUUCUCUAUGAGGCCCGCCAUCGGAAUGGGUACAAUCUAAA
This 452-nucleotide ribosomal RNA is filed under the name unidentified nematode Sourhope farm. RNAcentral describes it as "SSU rRNA". It matches the Rfam family "Eukaryotic small subunit ribosomal RNA", at positions 75 to 529 of the family's 1831-position model. Lineage: Eukaryota; Metazoa; Nematoda. The record is from RNAcentral.